AGCGUACACGGUGGAUGCCCUGGCAGUCAGAGGCGAUGAAGGACGUGCUAAUCUGCGAUAAGCGUCGGUAAGGUGAUAUGAACCGUUAUAACCGGCGAUUUCCGAAUGGGGAAACCCAGUGUGAUUCGUCACACUAUCAUUAACUGAAUCCAUAGGUUAAUGAGGCGAACCGGGGGAACUGAAACAUCUAAGUACCCCGAGGAAAAGAAAUCAACCGAGAUUCCCCCAGUAGCGGCGAGCGAACGGGGAGCAGCCCAGAGCCUGAAUCAGUGUGUGUGUUAGUGGAAGCGUCUGGAAAGGCGCGCGAUACAGGGUGACAGCCCCGUACACAAAAAUGCACAUGCUGUGAGCUCGAUGAGUAGGGCGGGACACGUGGUAUCCUGUCUGAAUAUGGGGGGACCAUCCUCCAAGGCUAAAUACUCCUGACUGACCGAUAGUGAACCAGUACCGUGAGGGAAAGGCGAAAAGAACCCCGGCGAGGGGAGUGAAAAAGAACCUGAAACCGUGUACGUACAAGCAGUGGGAGCCUCUUUAUGGGGUGACUGCGUACCUUUUGUAUAAUGGGUCAGCGACUUAUAUUCUGUAGCAAGGUUAACCGAAUAGGGGAGCCGAAGGGAAACCGAGUCUUAACUGGGCGUUAAGUUGCAGGGUAUAGACCCGAAACCCGGUGAUCUAGCCAUGGGCAGGUUGAAGGUUGGGUAACACUAACUGGAGGACCGAACCGACUAAUGUUGAAAAAUUAGCGGAUGACUUGUGGCUGGGGGUGAAAGGCCAAUCAAACCGGGAGAUAGCUGGUUCUCCCCGAAAGCUAUUUAGGUAGCGCCUCGUGAAUUCAUCUCCGGGGGUAGAGCACUGUUUCGGCAAGGGGGUCAUCCCGACUUACCAACCCGAUGCAAACUGCGAAUACCGGAGAAUGUUAUCACGGGAGACACACGGCGGGUGCUAACGUCCGUCGUGAAGAGGGAAACAACCCAGACCGCCAGCUAAGGUCCCAAAGUCAUGGUUAAGUGGGAAACGAUGUGGGAAGGCCCAGACAGCCAGGAUGUUGGCUUAGAAGCAGCCAUCAUUUAAAGAAAGCGUAAUAGCUCACUGGUCGAGUCGGCCUGCGCGGAAGAUGUAACGGGGCUAAACCAUGCACCGAAGCUGCGGCAGCGACGCUUAUGCGUUGUUGGGUAGGGGAGCGUUCUGUAAGCCUGCGAAGGUGUACUGUGAGGUAUGCUGGAGGUAUCAGAAGUGCGAAUGCUGACAUAAGUAACGAUAAAGCGGGUGAAAAGCCCGCUCGCCGGAAGACCAAGGGUUCCUGUCCAACGUUAAUCGGGGCAGGGUGAGUCGACCCCUAAGGCGAGGCCGAAAGGCGUAGUCGAUGGGAAACAGGUUAAUAUUCCUGUACUUGGUGUUACUGCGAAGGGGGGACGGAGAAGGCUAUGUUGGCCGGGCGACGGUUGUCCCGGUUUAAGCGUGUAGGCUGGUUUUCCAGGCAAAUCCGGAAAAUCAAGGCUGAGGCGUGAUGACGAGGCACUACGGUGCUGAAGCAACAAAUGCCCUGCUUCCAGGAAAAGCCUCUAAGCAUCAGGUAACAUCAAAUCGUACCCCAAACCGACACAGGUGGUCAGGUAGAGAAUACCAAGGCGCUUGAGAGAACUCGGGUGAAGGAACUAGGCAAAAUGGUGCCGUAACUUCGGGAGAAGGCACGCUGAUAUGUAGGUGAAGCGACUUGCUCGUGGAGCUGAAAUCAGUCGAAGAUACCAGCUGGCUGCAACUGUUUAUUAAAAACACAGCACUGUGCAAACACGAAAGUGGACGUAUACGGUGUGACGCCUGCCCGGUGCCGGAAGGUUAAUUGAUGGGGUUAGCGGUAACGCGAAGCUCUUGAUCGAAGCCCCGGUAAACGGCGGCCGUAACUAUAACGGUCCUAAGGUAGCGAAAUUCCUUGUCGGGUAAGUUCCGACCUGCACGAAUGGCGUAAUGAUGGCCAGGCUGUCUCCACCCGAGACUCAGUGAAAUUGAACUCGCUGUGAAGAUGCAGUGUACCCGCGGCAAGACGGAAAGACCCCGUGAACCUUUACUAUAGCUUGACACUGAACAUUGAGCCUUGAUGUGUAGGAUAGGUGGGAGGCUUUGAAGUGUGGACGCCAGUCUGCAUGGAGCCGACCUUGAAAUACCACCCUUUAAUGUUUGAUGUUCUAACGUUGGCCCCUAAUCGGGGUUGCGGACAGUGUCUGGUGGGUAGUUUGACUGGGGCGGUCUCCUCCUAAAGAGUAACGGAGGAGCACGAAGGUUGGCUAAUCCUGGUCGGACAUCAGGAGGUUAGUGCAAUGGCAUAAGCCAGCUUGACUGCGAGCGUGACGGCGCGAGCAGGUGCGAAAGCAGGUCAUAGUGAUCCGGUGGUUCUGAAUGGAAGGGCCAUCGCUCAACGGAUAAAAGGUACUCCGGGGAUAACAGGCUGAUACCGCCCAAGAGUUCAUAUCGACGGCGGUGUUUGGCACCUCGAUGUCGGCUCAUCACAUCCUGGGGCUGAAGUAGGUCCCAAGGGUAUGGCUGUUCGCCAUUUAAAGUGGUACGCGAGCUGGGUUUAGAACGUCGUGAGACAGUUCGGUCCCUAUCUGCCGUGGGCGCUGGAGAACUGAGGGGGGCUGCUCCUAGUACGAGAGGACCGGAGUGGACGCAUCACUGGUGUUCGGGUUGUCAUGCCAAUGGCACUGCCCGGUAGCUAAAUGCGGAAGAGAUAAGUGCUGAAAGCAUCUAAGCACGAAACUUGCCCCGAGAUGAGUUCU
Molecule: ribosomal RNA, 2774 nt
Filed under: Escherichia coli
Lineage: Bacteria; Pseudomonadati; Pseudomonadota; Gammaproteobacteria; Enterobacterales; Enterobacteriaceae
Also listed under: 1 other name
Description: bacterial LSU rRNA
Rfam family: Bacterial large subunit ribosomal RNA
Source: RNAcentral